This 1292-nucleotide long non-coding RNA is filed under the name Felis catus (domestic cat). RNAcentral's name for it is "lncRNA (ENSFCAG00000051937.1)". The record is from RNAcentral. Lineage: Eukaryota; Metazoa; Chordata; Mammalia; Carnivora; Felidae.
ACAGACAAGGUGGUAUAUGGAUUAAUCAGUCUACCAACUGAUAAUUCUAUUCUAUUUGAUAAGAGUAUAGAAAGAGGAAAAAAAUGCCAAAAACAUAAAUAAUAAAUAUAAAACAUAUGCAAUAUUAAAAUAUUAUAUUGGAUUCCUCUACAAAUCAGAGUAGUGUUUUGCAUAUCAUAGCUGUACUGCUAGAAAAAAAAAGUGUUAUCAUGAUAUGAGUACAUAGGAUCCAAAUUUGCUUAUAGAGAGGGAGUUCUAGAUCACUGACAAGAGAAAAAAGUGACCUAACAAUUCCUCGAAUAGGAACAAAGUCUUAGGAAUCCCUGCUCAGAAAAACCUUAACAUACUUUCCACAACUUAUGAUUCAUUUGGCUAAUGGUUCCUUUUAGCAACUGCAAAUAGCCCUGUGUGUGUGUGUGUGUGUGUGUGUGUGUGUGUGUGUGUGUGUAGGUGAAUGUAAGGGGAAAUUAGUUUAUAGAAUAUUCACAACUUGGUGCCAAUCAUCUUAAUUAAAUCCGGGUUUUACAAAAUGUAGAUGUUGACCCACUAAUGAUUCUCCAGGAGCAAGUUUUAAAAACAGAAUGGAAUGAAUGGAAUGGAAAUGAAUAGAGUAGAAAACCAAACAAUAAUUGCAAAUGGUAUGAUAAAAUCUGAUUCAUGAAAUGCUUGUUUCAGUUAUUUUAUGUGUGUCUUUAUGUGUUUAUAUUCAGGAUGUAAAGUGUAUUUCUUAUGGUUUCUAAAAUUUUUAAAACCAGUGUAUGCAGUAGACUUCAUGCUGACAGCCACAGAACUCAGCACAAGAUAUGCUGGUGGAGAUGGAGAGGAAGAAAAAAGCACGUAAGGAAGCAGGUGUCUUUGGAGCUGAUGUCUUUUGAAGGCCAAAAGGGACCAAGGACACUGAUGACCCGAAGUUCAAAAGAUUCAGGCUAGGAACCAUCACACUUCCUGCAGAAAAGAAAUCUUCUUGCUCUUUAAUACUUCUAGGAAGAGACCCCCUUUGGUCCUGCUAACAGUUCUGGCCUUCAGAUCCCGAGAUACAAUUGUCUUUUUAAAACCAUGUGCAUCAUAAACAAAUUAAAAGUAAACUAAACUGUGAACAGAUACCCAGAGUAGGUGCGUUUGCUUGACAGCAUACUAAUUCAGCAGCAGUAACCAGUGGGUUCCUAUGGAUGCCAGAAACAAGCUUGAUUAAUCAACCCCUAUCUAUCAAAGUCUAUUUUACCACAGAGAGAAAACAAAAUUACGGAAUAUUAUGAAAUAAAAUUCGCGCAUCCAUAUUAAAAGGUUAAGCC